CCUUCUGUCAGGGUGGGGGGAAAUUUGGAGGGGUAGGGGAUUGACUGGGCCUCCCCCUUCCCCAGGAGGUGACCAGCCAGCCCCUGCCUCCCUGGAGAGUGGGCCCAGCCUCCCAGGAACCCAGAAAGCUGAAGAGGAAGGGUCUGAGGCAGCUCCAGAGGCGGGCACCGAGGGCCAGGAGACCGCGGAGAUCACCGACUUCCAGAGGGCCUCCCCGAAUUCCUGAAGAUGCUGCUGGGAGGGGACUGACGCUUCCCCGCCUUGAUGGGGUGGGGGUGGCAGGAGGGGGUUAGUCUGGAUUCCCAGGCUGCGCUCUCUGCUCCCCGGAGACCGCUCUGGAUCCCAUGGCUUUAGGGAGAGGGAGAAAUUCAGGGUGGUGGGGAGGAGUUGGGGAAGGGGCGUGAUUGGGUUGUGGGGCAGAGCUGGAGCUUCGGGGUGUGUUUAGACCUCAGGACACUAAGUACUAAGAAGGUCCCGCCGGGGGCGUGGUUAGGAUGCCUGGG
Molecule: long non-coding RNA, 503 nt
Filed under: Ursus americanus (American black bear)
Lineage: Eukaryota; Metazoa; Chordata; Mammalia; Carnivora; Ursidae
Description: lncRNA (ENSUAMG00000026608.1)
Source: RNAcentral